Molecule: ribosomal RNA, 530 nt
Filed under: uncultured Alphaproteobacteria bacterium
Lineage: Bacteria; Pseudomonadati; Pseudomonadota; Alphaproteobacteria
Description: bacterial SSU rRNA
Rfam family: Bacterial small subunit ribosomal RNA
Source: RNAcentral
GUCGACCUGCAGGCGGCCGCGAAUUCACUAGUGAUUAGAGUUUGAUCAUGGCUCAGAACGAACGCUGGCGGCAUGCCUAACACAUGCAAGUCGAACGAACCCUUCGGGGUUAGUGGCGCACGGGUGCGUAACGCGUGGGAAUCUGCCCUUGGCUUCGGAAUAACAGUUAGAAAUGACUGCUAAUACCGGAUGAUGUCUUCGGACCAAAGAUUUAUCGGCCAGGGAUGAGCCCGCGUAGGAUUAGGUAGUUGGUGGGGUAAAGGCCUACCAAGCCGACGAUCCUUAGCUGGUCUGAGAGGAUGAUCAGCCACACUGGGACUGAGACACGGCCCAGACUCCUACGGGAGGCAGCAGUGGGGAAUAUUGGACAAUGGGCGCAAGCCUGAUCCAGCAAUGCCGCGUGAGUGAUGAAGGCCUUAGGGUUGUAAAGCUCUUUUACCCGGGAUGAUAAUGACAGUACCGGGAGAAUAAGCCCCGGCUAACUCCGUGCCAGCAGCCGCGGUAAUACGAAUCGAAUUCCCGCGGCCGCC